This 253-nucleotide ribosomal RNA is filed under the name uncultured bacterium. RNAcentral describes it as "partial 16S ribosomal RNA". It matches the Rfam family "Bacterial small subunit ribosomal RNA", at positions 524 to 776 of the family's 1533-position model. The record is from RNAcentral.
UACGGGGGGGGCAAGCGUUGUUCGGAAUUACUGGGCGUAAAGGGCUCGUAGGUGGCCAACUAAGUCAGACGUGAAAUCCCUCAGCUUAACUGGGGAACUGCGUCUGAUACUGGAUGGCUUGAGUUCGGGAGAGGGAUGCGGAAUUCCAGGUGUAGCGGUGAAAUGCGUAGAUAUCUGGAGGAACACCGGUGGCGAAGGCGGCAUCCUGGACCGACACUGACGCUGAGGAGCGAAAGCCAGGGGAGCAAACGGG